UUAAGCGACUAAGCGUACACGGUGGAUGCCCUGGCAGUCAGAGGCGAUGAAGGACGUGCUAAUCUGCGAAAAGCGACGGCGAGGUGAUAUGAACCUUUGACCCGUCGAUGUCCGAAUGGGGAAACCCAGUGUGUUUCGACACACUAUCGUUAACUGAAUACAUAGGUUAACGAGGCGAACCGGGGGAACUGAAACAUCUAAGUACCCCGAGGAAAAGAAAUCAACCGAGAUUCCCCCAGUAGCGGCGAGCGAACGGGGAGCAGCCCGGAGUCUGAAUCAGCUUGUGUGUUAGUGGAAGCGUCUGGAAAGUCGCACGGUACAGGGUGACAGUCCCGUACACGAAAAUGCACAGGUUGUGAACUCGAAGAGUAGGGCGGGACACGUGGUAUCCUGUCUGAAUAUGGGGGGACCAUCCUCCAAGGCUAAAUACUCCUGACUGACCGAUAGUGAACCAGUACCGUGAGGGAAAGGCGAAAAGAACCCCGGCGAGGGGAGUGAAAAAGAACCUGAAACCGUGUACGUACAAGCAGUGGGAGCACCUUCGUGGUGUGACUGCGUACCUUUUGUAUAAUGGGUCAGCGACUUAUAUUCUGUAGCAAGGUUAACCGUAUAGGGGAGCCGCAGGGAAACCGAGUCUUAACUGGGCGUUAAGUUGCAGGGUAUAGACCCGAAACCCGGUGAUCUAGCCAUGGGCAGGUUGAAGGUUGGGUAACACUAACUGGAGGACCGAACCGACUAAUGUUGAAAAAUUAGCGGAUGACCUGUGGCUGGGGGUGAAAGGCCAAUCAAACCGGGAGAUAGCUGGUUCUCCCCGAAAGCUAUUUAGGUAGCGCCUCGUGAACUCAUCUUCGGGGGUAGAGCACUGUUUCGGCUAGGGGGCCAUCCCGGCUUACCAACCCGAUGCAAACUACGAAUACCGAAGAAUGUUAUCACGGGAGACACACGGCGGGUGCUAACGUCCGUCGUGAAGAGGGAAACAACCCAGACCGCCAGCUAAGGUCCCAAAGUCAUGGUUAAGUGGGAAACGAUGUGGGAAGGCACAGACAGCCAGGAUGUUGGCUUAGAAGCAGCCAUCAUUUAAAGAAAGCGUAAUAGCUCACUGGUCGAGUCGGCCUGCGCGGAAGAUGUAACGGGGCUAAACCAUGCACCGAAGCUGCGGCAGCGACGCUUAUGCGUUGUUGGGUAGGGGAGCGUUCUGUAAGCCGUUGAAGGUGUGCUGUGAGGCAUGCUGGAGGUAUCAGAAGUGCGAAUGCUGACAUAAGUAACGAUAAAGCGGGUGAAAAGCCCGCUCGCCGGAAGACCAAGGGUUCCUGUCCAACGUUAAUCGGGGCAGGGUGAGUCGACCCCUAAGGCGAGGCCGAAAGGCGUAGUCGAUGGGAAACAGGUUAAUAUUCCUGUACUUGGUGUUACUGCGAAGGGGGGACGGAGAAGGCUAUGUCAGCCGGGCGACGGUUGUCCCGGUUUAAGCGUGUAGGUGUGUGUUCCAGGCAAAUCCGGUUCACUUUAACACUGAGGCGUGAUGACGAGGCACUACGGUGCUGAAGUGAUAAAUGCCCUGCUUCCAGGAAAAGCCUCUAAGCAUCAGGUAACACGAAAUCGUACCCCAAACCGACACAGGUGGUCAGGUAGAGAAUACCAAGGCGCUUGAGAGAACUCGGGUGAAGGAACUAGGCAAAAUGGUGCCGUAACUUCGGGAGAAGGCACGCUGAUAUGUAGGUGAAGUCCCUGCGGACGGAGCUGAAAUCAGUCGAAGAUACCAGCUGGCUGCAACUGUUUAUUAAAAACACAGCACUGUGCAAACACGAAAGUGGACGUAUACGGUGUGACGCCUGCCCGGUGCCGGAAGGUUAAUUGAUGGGGUUAGCGGCAACGCGAAGCUCUUGAUCGAAGCCCCGGUAAACGGCGGCCGUAACUAUAACGGUCCUAAGGUAGCGAAAUUCCUUGUCGGGUAAGUUCCGACCUGCACGAAUGGCGUAAUGAUGGCCAGGCUGUCUCCACCCGAGACUCAGUGAAAUUGAACUCGCUGUGAAGAUGCAGUGUACCCGCGGCAAGACGGAAAGACCCCGUGAACCUUUACUAUAGCUUGACACUGAACACUGGUCCUUGAUGUGUAGGAUAGGUGGGAGGCUUUGAAGCGUGGACGCCAGUCUGCGUGGAGCCGUCCUUGAAAUACCACCCUUUAAUGGCUGGUGUUCUAACGUGGACCCGUGAUCCGGGUUGCGGACAGUGUCUGGUGGGUAGUUUGACUGGGGCGGUCUCCUCCCAAAGAGUAACGGAGGAGCACGAAGGUUAGCUAAUCCUGGUCGGACAUCAGGAGGUUAGUGCAAUGGCAUAAGCUAGCUUGACUGCGAGAGUGACGGCUCGAGCAGGUGCGAAAGCAGGUCAUAGUGAUCCGGUGGUUCUGAAUGGAAGGGCCAUCGCUCAACGGAUAAAAGGUACUCCGGGGAUAACAGGCUGAUACCGCCCAAGAGUUCAUAUCGACGGCGGUGUUUGGCACCUCGAUGUCGGCUCAUCACAUCCUGGGGCUGAAGUAGGUCCCAAGGGUAUGGCUGUUCGCCAUUUAAAGUGGUACGCGAGCUGGGUUUAGAACGUCGUGAGACAGUUCGGUCCUAUCUGCCGUGGGCGCUGGAGAAUUGAGGGGGGCUGCUCCUAGUACGAGAGGACCGGAGUGGACGCAUCACUGGUGUUCGGGUUGUCAUGCCAAUGGCACUGCCCGGUAGCUAAAUGCGGAAGAGAUAAGUGCUGAAAGCAUCUAAGCACGAAACUUGCCCCGAGAUGAGUUCUCCCUGAGACUUUAAGUCUCCUGAAGGAACGUUGAAGACGACGACGUUGAUAGGCCGGGUGUGUAAGCGCAGCGAUGCGUUGAGCUAACCGGUACUAAUGAACCGUGAGGCUUAACCUU
RNAcentral lists this ribosomal RNA (2902 nucleotides) under Enterobacter bugandensis. RNAcentral describes it as "bacterial LSU rRNA". It matches the Rfam family "Bacterial large subunit ribosomal RNA". Lineage: Bacteria; Pseudomonadati; Pseudomonadota; Gammaproteobacteria; Enterobacterales; Enterobacteriaceae. The record is from RNAcentral.